This 255-nucleotide ribosomal RNA is filed under the name uncultured bacterium. RNAcentral describes it as "partial 16S ribosomal RNA". It matches the Rfam family "Bacterial small subunit ribosomal RNA", at positions 524 to 777 of the family's 1533-position model. The record is from RNAcentral.
UACGUAGGGCGCAAGCGUUAUCCGGAAUUAUUGGGCGUAAAGAGCUCGUAGGCGGUUUGUCGCGUCUGCCGUGAAAGUCCGGGGCUCAACUCCGGAUCUGCGGUGGGUACGGGCAGACUAGAGUGAUGUAGGGGAGACUGGAAUUCCUGGUGUAGCGGUGAAAUGCGCAGAUAUCAGGAGGAACACCGAUGGCGAAGGCAGGGUCUCUGGGCAUUAACUGACGCUGAGGAGCGAAAGCAUGGGGAGCGAACAGGA